RNAcentral lists this transfer RNA (73 nucleotides) under Candidatus Nitrosopumilus sediminis. RNAcentral's name for it is "tRNA-Gln (CTG) (tRNA-Gln-CTG-1-1)". It matches the Rfam family "tRNA". From Rfam's summary of the family: Transfer RNA (tRNA) molecules are approximately 80 nucleotides in length. Their secondary structure includes four short double-helical elements and three loops (D, anti-codon, and T loops). RNAcentral also lists the same sequence under 13 other names. Lineage: Archaea; Thermoproteati; Nitrososphaerota; Nitrososphaeria; Nitrosopumilales; Nitrosopumilaceae. The record is from RNAcentral.
AGCCCGAUAGUCUAGUGGUCAAGGAUUCUGCCCUCUGGAGGCGGAGACGGCAGUUCGAAUCUGCCUCGGGCUA